UGGCUCAGAACGAACGCUGGCGGCAGGCUUAACACAUGCAAGUCGAGCGCCCCGCAAGGGGAGCGGCAGACGGGUGAGUAACGCGUGGGAAUCUACCCUUUUCUACGGAAUAACGCAUGGAAACGUGUGCUAAUACCGUAUGAGCCCUUCGGGGGAAAGAUUUAUCGGGAAAGGAUGAGCCCGCGUUGGAUUAGCUAGUUGGUGGGGUAAAGGCCUACCAAGGCGACGAUCCAUAGCUGGUCUGAGAGGAUGAUCAGCCACAUUGGGACUGAGACACGGCCCAAACUCCUACGGGAGGCAGCAGUGGGGAAUAUUGGACAAUGGGCGCAAGCCUGAUCCAGCCAUGCCGCGUGAGUGAUGAAGGCCCUAGGGUUGUAAAGCUCUUUCACCGGUGAAGAUAAUGACGGUAACCGGAGAAGAAGCUGAGCUAUU
Molecule: ribosomal RNA, 432 nt
Filed under: barley rhizosphere bacterium LJ45
Lineage: Bacteria
Description: bacterial SSU rRNA
Rfam family: Bacterial small subunit ribosomal RNA
Source: RNAcentral